UACGGGGGGGGCAAGCGUUGUUCGGAAUUACUGGGCGUAAAGGGCUCGUAGGUGGCCAACUAAGUCAGACGUGAAAUCCCUCGGCUUAACCGGGGAACUGCGUCUGAUACUGGAUGGCUUGAGUUUGGGAGAGGGAUGCGGAAUUCCAGGUGUAGCGGUGAAAUGCGUAGAUAUCUGGAGGAAUACCGGUGGCGAAGGCGGCAUCCUGGACCGACAUUGACGCUGAGGAGCGAAAGCUAGGGGAGCAAACGGG
RNAcentral lists this ribosomal RNA (253 nucleotides) under uncultured bacterium. RNAcentral's name for it is "partial 16S ribosomal RNA". It matches the Rfam family "Bacterial small subunit ribosomal RNA", at positions 524 to 776 of the family's 1533-position model. The record is from RNAcentral.